This 336-nucleotide RNase P RNA is filed under the name Roseateles noduli. Its description in RNAcentral is "Mitsuaria noduli RNase P RNA component class A". It matches the Rfam family "Bacterial RNase P class A". From Rfam's summary of the family: Ribonuclease P (RNase P) is a ubiquitous endoribonuclease, found in archaea, bacteria and eukarya as well as chloroplasts and mitochondria. Lineage: Bacteria; Pseudomonadati; Pseudomonadota; Betaproteobacteria; Burkholderiales; Sphaerotilaceae. The record is from RNAcentral.
GAAGCAAGCCAGACCGCCGCUGGUGCGAUCGUGGAAACACGGCACUGGAGGAAGGUCCGGACUGCAUAGAGCGGCGUAGCAGCUAACGGCUGCCCGGCGGAAGCCGAGGAUCAGAGCAACAGAGACGAGUCGAUGGCGGCGCAAGCGGCCAUCGGGUGAAACGGGCAAUCUCUACGCGCAGCAACACCAAGUAGGCCAGCGUCGAUGCGGCUCGCAGAGCUGGCGGGUAGGUGGCACCGAGCCGGGCAGUGAUGCCCGGCCCAGAGGAAUGGCGGUCACGCGGCGAAUCGCAAGAGGAGCCGCGCACAGAAUCCGGCCUAUCGGCUUGCUUCACAU